This 743-nucleotide ribosomal RNA is filed under the name uncultured bacterium. RNAcentral's name for it is "bacterial SSU rRNA". It matches the Rfam family "Bacterial small subunit ribosomal RNA", at positions 8 to 796 of the family's 1533-position model. The record is from RNAcentral.
AGAGUUUGAUCAUGGCUCAGAGCGAACGCUGGCGGCAGGCCUAAAACAUGCAAGUCGAACGGACCCUUCGGGGUUAGUGGCGGACGGGUGAGUAACACGUGGGGAACGUGCCCUUUGGUUCGGAACAACUCAGGGAAACUUGAGCUAAUACCGGAUGUGCCCUUCGGGGGAAAGAUUUAUCGCCAUUGGAGCGGCCCGCGUCUGAUUAGCUAGUUGGUAGGGUAAAGGCCUACCAAGGCUACGAUCAGUAGCUGGUCUGAGAGGAUGAUCAGCCACACUGGGACUGAGACACGGCCCAGACUCCUACGGGAGGCAGCAGUUAGGAAUCUUGCGCAAUGGGCGAAAGCCUGACGCAGCCAUGCCGCGUGAAUGAUGAAGGUCUUAGGAUUGUAAAAUUCUUUCAGCGGGGACGAUAAUGACGGUACCCGCAGAAGAAGCUCCGGCUAACUUCGUGCCAGCAGCCGCGGUAAUACGAAGGGGGCUAGCGUUGCUCGGAAUUACUGGGCGUAAAGGGCGCGUAGGCGGACAGUUUAGUCAGAGGUGAAAGCCCAGGGCUCAACCUUGGAACUGCCUUUGAUACUGGCUGUCUUGAGUUCGGGAGAGGUGUGUGGAACUCCGAGUGUAGAGGUGAAAUUCGUAGAUAUUCGGAAGAACACCAGUGGCGAAGGCGACACACUGGCCCGAUACUGACGCUGAGGCGCGAAAGCGUGGGGAGCAAACAGGAUUAGAUACCCUAGUAGUCC